GAAAUGUGUCAUUGACUUCAGGCAGCGAGAGCACAGAGAACCACAAGACACGGAGGAGGGACAGCAGAAGGUCGGCCAUGGCUGUGUUUCUGAUCCGUCUUGUAAUUUGGUCCACUUCGUUGGUUUUGUGGUUCCCUCAAAGUGCAGCGACUGAAAGCCAUGGUUUGGAUCUCUGUCAGGAGUUUCCAGAUGAGGUGAAAAUGAGAAUAAGCUUUUGUAUAAACACUUUUGUUUUCUAAUGACCUCA
Molecule: non-coding RNA, 247 nt
Organism: Neolamprologus brichardi
Lineage: Eukaryota; Metazoa; Chordata; Actinopteri; Cichliformes; Cichlidae
Source: RefSeq, a predicted model, not a curated record